RNAcentral lists this ribosomal RNA (492 nucleotides) under uncultured bacterium. Its description in RNAcentral is "partial 16S ribosomal RNA". It matches the Rfam family "Bacterial small subunit ribosomal RNA", at positions 29 to 507 of the family's 1533-position model. The record is from RNAcentral.
AGUGAACGCUGGCGGUAGGCCUAACACAUGCAAGUCGAACGGCAGCACAGUAAGAGCUUGCUCUUACGGGUGGCGAGUGGCGGACGGGUGAGGAAUACAUCGGAAUCUACUUUUUCGUGGGGGAUAACGUAGGGAAACUUACGCUAAUACCGCAUACGACCUACGGGUGAAAGCAGGGGAUCUUCGGACCUUGCGCGAUUGAAUGAGCCGAUGUCGGAUUAGCUAGUUGGCGGGGUAAAGGCCCACCAAGGCGACGAUCCGUAGCUGGUCUGAGAGGAUGAUCAGCCACACUGGAACUGAGACGCGGUCCAGACUCCUACGGGAGGCAGCAGUGGGGAAUAUUGGACAAAGGGCGCAAGCCUGAUCCAGCCAUACCGCGUGGGUGAAGAAGGCCUUCGGGUUGUAAAGCCCUUUUGUUGGGAAAGAAAAGCAGCAGGUUAAUACCCCGCUGUUCUGACGGUACCCAAAGAAUAAGCACCGGCUAACUUCGUG